UACGUAGGGUCCGAGCGUUGAUCGGAAUUACUGGGCGUAAAGCGUGCGCAGGCGGUUUUGUAAGCCAGAUGUGAAAUCCCCGGGCUCAACCUGGGAACUGCAUUUGGGACUGCAAGGCUUGAGUACGGCAGAGGGGGGUGGAAUUCCACGUGUAGCAGUGAAAUGCGUAGAUAUGUGGAGGAACACCGAUGGCGAAGGCAGCCCCCUGGGAUGUGACUGACGCUCAUGUACGAAAGCGUGGGGAGCAAACAGG
RNAcentral lists this ribosomal RNA (253 nucleotides) under uncultured bacterium. RNAcentral describes it as "partial 16S ribosomal RNA". It matches the Rfam family "Bacterial small subunit ribosomal RNA", at positions 524 to 776 of the family's 1533-position model. The record is from RNAcentral.